This 301-nucleotide ribosomal RNA is filed under the name uncultured bacterium. RNAcentral describes it as "partial 16S ribosomal RNA". It matches the Rfam family "Bacterial small subunit ribosomal RNA", at positions 509 to 809 of the family's 1533-position model. The record is from RNAcentral.
CAGUCGCCGCGGGAAUACAGAGGGUGCAAGCGUUAAUCGGAAUUACUGGGCGUAAAGCGCGCGUAGGUGGUUUGUUAAGUUGGAUGUGAAAUCCCCGGGCUUAACCUGGGAACUGCAUCCAAAACUGGCAAGCUAGAGUAUGGUAGAGGGUGGUGGAAUUUCCUGUGUAGCGGUGAAAUGCGUAGAUAUAGGAAGGAACACCAGUGGCGAAGGCGACCACCUGGACUGAUACUGACACUGAGGUGCGAAAGCGUGGGGAGCAAACAGGAUUAGAUACCCGCGUAGUCCCUGUCUCUUAUAA